Molecule: long non-coding RNA, 1419 nt
Organism: Oxyura jamaicensis (ruddy duck)
Lineage: Eukaryota; Metazoa; Chordata; Aves; Anseriformes; Anatidae
Exons: 2
Source: RefSeq, a predicted model, not a curated record
CUACUGCUCCACAGGCGGCUCACAGACACACACAGCAACCCUGUGGGCAUCUUUCUAGCUCGUAUUCGCCCCAGAGCAUUGCUGUCCGGUUCCUGCUGUGCUUUAUUCAGCUGUGAAGCAGAGGCUGCACUCCAGGCAUUCCCUAGAGGAGCUGGAGCUCCAUUCCACCUGCCCACAUCACGCCGUGGGGAGGGAGCCAUGGCCAUCCUCGCUUGGCUCCUGCAGGAUGGUCAGGGCCGAGUAAUUACACACCCCGAGCUACAGAUAUAGAGGCAGCUCCGAGAGAGCGCUGCGCCUAACUGCUCGUUUGGGUGCCUGAUGUCAGGAUUCAGACCGCAGCAGCUUCCUCAGGAAGGUCCUGUUUCCUGCGGUGCUUGCCUGGCUCAGCUGCUGAGUCUGGGUGCUGAGCCCUGGUGCCACGUGCUGAGCUUGCCAAGAGGAGAGGGCUGGGCACGGAGAGGUUUCUUUUCUGGUCAGCUCUUCCAGACUGAGGCAGGACCUGGAAACUGCCACAGGGUGAGGAUUGCAGCUCCUGGAAGACAGCUGGCUGCCAGACAGGGUGCAAAGCCACCAGUGCUGCCCCAAAGGGCAUAACUGCACUGUGAAUGCAGUCCAGGAGACGUUCAGCCCCAUAUUGCCAUGUUGGCCCUUCCCCUCACCCCAUGCACUGGAUUUGCUGGGGGUGCAGCACAGGGUGCCCAGGAACCCCUCGGACAGUCAGCAGGGAAGCAAGGAUCACCAGGGAUGACCUGGCUCAGGGACCAGGCUGCUGUGGGAAGAAGUAAAACAGGGUUGGUGACAGGAGCAAGAGCAAGUUUUUGUUAUCUCCGUGAGACGGUCCAUUUACAAGUUUGAUUUGCUUUAUACAUGUCAGUUGUGUUUGUUUGUUUGUUUCUUUUACCUUUGCCCUGUUGUUCUUGGGCCUUGCCUCUGGGAACAACUUUGUUUGCAUCUGCUGAGAUGUCCAGCUGGAGCAAGCACAGAAAAUUCCUGAACUCCUAUAAUGAAAUUUUCCAGUAUGCUAAAAAAUUAAUUUACUCCUUCUUGCAGAAAGUGACCAAGCAAAAAUGUACUCUUCUGCAAGAGGGAAGGAAAGGCUAUUAGGAAUCACCUUGAAAUCCCAGGGAAUCAGGUCUAGUGUGGGGUGGUUAUUUUCAGGUUCACUGCUGCAAAUCUUUAGUAGACAAAGCCUAGGGAAAAGCAUAGGACAGCUAGCUCUGUGCAGUUAUUUACAUCUGUAAGAAGGGUCAAAUGCCAUUAACUUGAUUAAAGAACAGAGGCUAGACCUGUUUUACAGUGACUGGGGGCUAUCCAGAGAGAGAGUUGGGCUCUAAGCAUCACUAAGAGGAUUCAGAAAACACAGCAGGAACAGGAAAGAGAUGUACAGGAGUCAUUAAAGAAUAGAAAUAAUAAUAAUAA